Gallus gallus (chicken) is the source of this 1624-nucleotide long non-coding RNA. The record is from Ensembl. NCBI's taxonomy places the organism in Eukaryota, Metazoa, Chordata, Aves, Galliformes, Phasianidae.
UGAGAGCCAUGGAAAGGUAGAGAGAGGUUUCCACCAUUAAUAGAAAUCUUGGAUUAACAGUCUUUGGAAACAGCUUGCAUAAAAAGAAUGAAGGGUUGUGUGUAUCUCCAGAAGGUGCCCCCACAACAUCCUGCUGGCUCCCUUUGGUGAGUGUAAAACGGCAUGCAGCAGGGAGCUAUACAGAGAAAGUAUAGUAAAUUGAGAGGAGUAAGCAUGCCGGUAUGGAUUACAAGGGAAGCGUGCAAAAACUGUAGGACCCAUGUAAGAAUUGAGUAAAACCCAUUUUUCCCUCAACUACACAACAGAAGAAAAAUGAGGCAAUAAUAUUCUGCCAGUAAUGGAAAAAUGAAAUGUCUGUGUAGAUCUACGGAUCUUGAAAAACCUUACAUUUGGAGAAGCAUCUUCACUCAGGAUUCUCAUGCUACAGCUUCAGUAGAAAACACAUCUAAAGUCAUGAAGGAACACCAGUUUCCGAUGGACCACAUUAUGAUACAAAACUGUAUGACUCUGUAUGGGAACUGUUGAACCACGGCCUGAACCUCUGAUUGAUCACCUGAGGCAAGCACUGAGUCAGCUGCAGGAGCACAGGUGAAGGCAAUUCAGCUGUGUGGCCGGAAGGGCUGAAGCCUGGCUGCACCUCUCCUAGACCCCAUUUAAGGGCUGACUGCCACCGAAGAAGGAUCUCUUUCCAGAGAUUGCUCCUCUUUGAGUUUCUCCUGCAGUCCUACAACACGGUUCACAUCAGGCUGGGUAGAUUUCUGCGCAGUUCCCAGCUGAGUCACCAGAGAGGGGCCCGCCUUCAUCAUGGAUCAAUUUGAUUUCAAGCCCUGACAAAUACCCAGCUUCAAGACGGGGGACAAACUGUAAUGUGCUUUAUGAGAACACAAGGAAAUGAUGAAAAGUUCAAGAGUGACAGCUUGAAGUUCUGUAUGCAUACAAAAAGGACAACGUGAAUAAUGUCAGCAUGCACUUCCCCUUCCCUUCAGGAGCUCCAGAAUAUUUUAGAUGUGUAAAAAGAAUGUACUACUGUGACCUGACAUUACAAGUAUUUGAGGGGCAAAACCACAGCACUUCUAUAUUGACAGAUCACAUACUCUUAAUGCUGAGAUAUAUUUAUCUAUCUAGUACUCUAAGAUGCUGAAGGGGUAGGAUGUGCUUGAGAUAAAAAUAUGUUGGUACUGUUGAAUCAUACCAAAAACUUAACUUAAAAGACCUUCCUCUGACAAAAGCAACAACAACAAAACUGAAACAUAAAAUAUGCUAGACCUUCUUAUUUAAAUAGUAUUUGAAUUGAGCCAUUCUGACUACAAAGGCUUGAAGCCUGGAUACAGCCCUGAACUAAUUUCCUGCCUUUUGCUUUUGUUUGUCAGUUAACGUCAUACAGAUCAUGUCAUAUAAAUGAAGCUGAACACUGUUUAGGUCUUAGUGUUAGCAAACAAGAAAUCAUGAUUUGAUUCUUGCAUUCUGUGCCUCUGUCCUUGAGCCAACUCUGUGUGCUUUGUGCUUGCUACAGCACUGCACGUAUAACUGAUUGUUGGUAAUACUGAAAAUGACAUGCAUAUUGAAAUGCUUGCAAGACUGAAGUUUUUAACAUAAAAUAAAUGAGUACUUUGCUUUUGGGUUU